AUGGCGCCAAGUACCAAUACGAACGCAAAUGACUACAACCGAAAUGUACAACUGCACGACACCCGCCAAGUUCGACGACGCUCGCCACCCGAACGACUACCGCCGACGCGUACCUCUUCUUCGCCGUGGGUUUCGUCAAGUUCAAUGGUGAACCCCGAAGUCCUCGGAUCCGUCAAGUCCAACAACGACUAUGUACUACUAUCGGCGACCUCGAACGACUACGAAACGUGA
RNAcentral lists this ribosomal RNA (231 nucleotides) under Triticum aestivum (bread wheat). RNAcentral describes it as "partial small subunit ribosomal RNA". The record is from RNAcentral. Lineage: Eukaryota; Viridiplantae; Streptophyta; Magnoliopsida; Poales; Poaceae.